GUCCGCCAACCAUAUUUCGCAUACGAUUUAUAAUUUUUCUAUAAAACCUACAUAUAGAGCAAGUAAUGAAAAAUGAUCAACUAAAACAUAAUAUAUAAGGAAUAAUUGUUACUUACGUUGGGUUAGUGGUAGUUCUGCUUUCAGCAUGUAAAGUCAGACUGUAGCCAAACAGUGAAUUGCCUUCGCCUUGUUUAAUGACAUGCUUGUCUGUUUUCACAUCGAUGUUAUAAGCUGAACAACAUGCCAGGAACGAAAAUAAGACGAGUGCCUUGCUACCAGACAUUCGUAUACUUUCAAAAACAAAAAAUAUACCAGAAAAGUAAAUUUUAACAAUUUUGACACAGCUUGUGUGUCUUACGAUGUUGAUCGAGUACUAUAAACGAAUAUUAU
This is a non-coding RNA of Paramuricea clavata, 390 nucleotides long. Lineage: Eukaryota; Metazoa; Cnidaria; Anthozoa; Malacalcyonacea; Plexauridae. The record is from the annotation of a GenBank genome assembly.